UGAGGGGAGACGCAGGGCUGAGCGGGACACGGGGCUGAGGGAGGGAUAUGGCACUGAUGGGAGCCCAGGGCUGAGGGGAGACAGGGCCGAGCCCAGGGCCAAGGGGGAGCUGGGGGCCGGGCAGCCCCCAGAGCUACGGGGCACAGGCCAAGGCUGACCUUUCUCAGCACUUCCCCAGAGCGAGGGGUGUCAAGCAGGGUGCACAACACCUUCCCACGUUUUAAAUGCGAGUCUUGUUUCUGGAGAGGUUCAGGCUCCUCACUGCUGCAUCAGGGCUUCCUUCCCACUGAAACCUAACGGGGGGAGCCUGAGCGCAGCUGGAGAGCCCCUGCACCGCUGCCCUGGGCACUGGGUCACCUGUGCCCUGCGAGCCUGCCCUGGAGGGGGACAGUGGUGACAGCAAGGUAUCUUACUGACAGACUCAUGAAUCCCAGCAUAGCCACACACACACACAUAUGCGUGGGCGUGUAUAUAUAGUAUGUGUAUAUAUAUAUAUAUGUGAUGUGUGUACAGCCUCAGAAAUGAAUAGUUACAGACAUUAAAUACCCAGCAACUUAAAUACCACCAAUCUUAACAAAUCCAUUCUCCCUCGCUCCGCUCGAGUGGGUUCUUGGCUCCACAGGGUGAAGCGCGGUGUUCAGGAACACAAGCAGCAGCAAACGUGGCACAGCUUACACACAGAUACCGCGGAAUGUAAAUCCCGAUUUUACCCGGCUGUCCCAAAGGCGGCCUGUCCCAGGCGGGUAGCGCUGCGUACCACCACGGCAGUGUGAGCCGCACUCGCGUGGCUCCGUCAGAUACGGCUGAGCUCGAGCAGCUGCUUGUUCUGCACUUGCCAGGGCAGAGUUGUGAUCUCUGGAAGGGAAAACAAGCAUGUACAUUAUUAGAAACAGUGACUUAAAUGUGUGUAUUAAGUCAAACACAAAAAAAGAGGACUACUGAUGCUUUUUCUUUUUUUAAAUUUAUGAAAGCAUUGGUGGUUUUUUUUCUUAAUAAAGACGGUUUCAUUAAGAGCUCCUCCUGCAUGACAGCUAUUGAAACAAACACAUCCACAGUGGCUGUUAUUUUCAUUAGAUCCUCAAAAAAAGGACAUUUGUAUAGGUAUGAGAUAGUUAGCCAGCUUGCAAAUUGGACUAGGACAUUAGAGAGACCAUUUCAAGUCUUGAGGAAUAAAUGUCAAGGAAUUCUUUCAAUAUCCUUUAAUAUAUUUAUUCAAAAAUAACAACCUCAAAAGAUCCUAUUUUAAUGUACCUCAGGACAGGAAAGCAAACUGAUGAAGCAGUCUGCACAGUAACAGAAACGGUGCAACAGGAAAAUAUUAAACCUAUAAAUCUGAGUUAGCAGUACAUUAACCAGUGACUCAUUGCCGGCGAUGAUUUGUGGGGAUCUGUCGCACUUUACCGUAUGAUUUCUGAGUAUUCGAUGCCCAUUAGUUCAAGCCCACAACAAAUUGUGGUUUCUCUUCACUGUUUUUCCCUCCUCCCCGUGCACUCGCCCUAUUCCUUUUCUUCCACAGGUCUGGCUGUGCUCCAGCAGGCACAGGGCACUCGGCAACACACCCUGCAAGCCAGGCGUUGGUGGCAUCUCCAGGAGGUAUCUGAAGGCAGAGGUGCCGAUGAACCUGGUGCUGGUGCACGCUGAUGGCACCUCACGGCAGCAGCGCGAGCUACGGCAGAUGCUGCUUGCCUGCUGACAUCUUCACCCAACCUCACUCAGAUUUUACCACCUGACAUGAGACAUUUCAGCCGAGUGAAUGGGAAAUCAAUGCAAAACCAAAAGGAGCUUGGUCUAGGGCUGCUAAACUGUAGGGUGGGCCCCUGUGGGAGCCACUUCCAGCCCUCCACCAUGCCCACCCCUCUCUCAGGGGAAAGAGAACCCACACAAGCCAUUAACAGUAAUUUCUCCAUGGACCUCCUGCCGGCUGAUGCUUAGUCUUUGUGCCGCUGUGAGCUGACUCAGCACCUUCCAACCAAUGUGUACAGAAGGGUGGGAGAAGCUGGCAAAUGCCCCAAAAGUGGGAAUGGCCAUCCAUCCUGGAGCUUCCCGCUCUUGCUCAAACCUCAUUGCUACAAAUCAGCCAUCUGCUCACGCCAGGCCAGGAGCUGGUACUGCAGUACCCAAACAUGCCAAGUCUUGUGGCCCCACAAACUUCCCCUUGACCCUCACUGGGAGGGCUGCUCUUCAUGGCAAAGCCACCAGUACAAGGAGCCUCCCAAAAAGUGCAGCCCAUGGGAAAACGUGGCUGCUCCUGGCCGACCCCAUGGGAAGGGACUUCUGUUUCAAGAGCUUUCCACAGGUCAGUAGAAUCCUGCGCAGCAGUGAUGCCGCGGAGAGCAGCACGGCUCCGGUAACACAUACCUUACAGUGUCUGCAAAUAUGCUUUUGCACGGUGCUUUACAGUGAGCUUCUGACAACCUUUGCGACAGCGCUCAGAGGGACAUCUCUUCCCAAGUAUCCGUUUUAACAGUAACAGCAGAUGACCAGGACACCUGAGGGGUGGAAAGCAAGCCGGUGGAAAAGAAAAAGGAUUAAGCCAUGAAAGAUUUAAAGUCCAGAACAGCCAACUGGAACAAACCAUCAAGCCUGGUCCUACCCAACUCACCUUAUCGUCAGCGCACACCUAAGGGCCCGAGUCUGCUACACGCAGCAUCGUAAGCCACCACGUACAAAGAGGCUGUUAACCUUAUGCUCACAAGCUCCCCCACUCCUCCAUAUGACACUGACAACAAAAGUGCCUUAACUCUUUUUGUGAUCAAGUGCUUUCUGCGCAGUAAGUAAAACAGAUACAGCACAGCAAACCUGCCUCCUCAGCUACGGCUGUGUUACAAAUACGCAUGCGGUUUGGCAGCGUAAUCUUUUACUCCGAUAAACUAUUAAAUGCCAAAGAAAGCUUCUUAAGUUAAUCAGGGCUUGAUUUAAAUAAACAAGCCACCAAAAGAUUAACAAAAAUCCUUAAUGGAAUCUGAAUGCAAACCCAGUCUGCUCACAAGUUCAUAACAGCAAUUGGAACCGGCCCACUGACCCCCUUUUUCUCCCCUUACUGGCACCACCAGUGAAAAAGAAUUUUCUGGAACACCCAACACAACCAUUUCCAGCUCCAUUGACGCCAGCAGCAGUUUUGGCAACUUCGUCACAAGCACAUGUGCUAAUACUGCACGUCAGGGGGAGGAGGAAGAGGAGGAGGAGGCAGGAUGACUUCAUUCUCGUGACAGAGGGGAGUCAGCUGAACCCUCCAGGAAGAAACUCGGAGCUGCUUGCGCCGAAGCCCCGCGUUACUGACCGCUUUCACAGCCACAGCAGGAAUUGCCCCCCUGGGAAGCGCUUGGGCAGAGCACAGCAGUCCUGAGGGCAGCUUCGCUGCAACAAGCCACCACUCCGAUGAGCAGGACUCCUCGGUGUAGGUACGUUAUAUGUAUGCAUCAACGCUCACACGUUCAGUACCUAAACAUGUAAGGACAGUAAUUUAAAACUCCUGUCUUAGGUACAAUACUUAAUUUUAUCCCACAAAGGUAAUAAAUGACCAAACAUUGGUGAACAAAAUGUGCCAGGCUGGAGCCCAUACAAAGUAUCUGUGGGCUGACAUGCUAUAUAUAUCUCAGGUCCUUCAUUAGACAGUUGUUAUUUAAUUCUGCUGCUCUACAGACUCUUUCU
This is a long non-coding RNA of Falco peregrinus (peregrine falcon), 3651 nucleotides long. RefSeq lists it as uncharacterized. The record is from RefSeq and is a predicted model, not a curated record. The transcript is spliced from 3 exons. NCBI's taxonomy places the organism in Eukaryota, Metazoa, Chordata, Aves, Falconiformes, Falconidae.